GAUGAACGCUGGCGGCGUGCCUAAUACAUGCAAGUCGAGCGAACAGAUAAGGAGCUUGCUCCUUUGACGUUAGCGGCGGACGGGUGAGUUACACGUGGAUAACCUACCCAUAAGACUGGGAUAACUUCGGGAAACCGGAGCUAAUACCGGAUAACAUAUUGAACCGCAUGGUUCAAUAGUGAAAGGCGGCUUUGCUGUCACUUAUAGAUGGAUCCGCGCCGUAUUAGCUAGGUGGUAAGGUAACGGCUUACCAAGGCAACGAUACGUAGCCGACCUGAGAGGGUGAUCGGCCACACUGGAACUGAGACACGGUCCAGACUCCUACGGGAGGCAGCAGUAGGGAAUCUUCCGCAAUGGGCGAAAGCCUGACGGGGCAACGCCGCGUGAGUGAUGAAGGUCUUCGGAUCGUAAAACUCUGUUAUCAGGGAAGAACAAAUGUGUAAGUAACUGUGCACAUCUUGACGGUACCUUAUCAGAAAGCCACGGCUAACUACGUG
RNAcentral lists this ribosomal RNA (497 nucleotides) under uncultured bacterium. RNAcentral's name for it is "partial 16S ribosomal RNA". It matches the Rfam family "Bacterial small subunit ribosomal RNA", at positions 28 to 507 of the family's 1533-position model. The record is from RNAcentral.